This 907-nucleotide ribosomal RNA is filed under the name Escherichia coli. RNAcentral describes it as "partial 23S ribosomal RNA". It matches the Rfam family "Bacterial large subunit ribosomal RNA", at positions 361 to 1270 of the family's 2925-position model. Lineage: Bacteria; Pseudomonadati; Pseudomonadota; Gammaproteobacteria; Enterobacterales; Enterobacteriaceae. The record is from RNAcentral.
AGGGUGACAGCCCCGUACACAAAAAUGCACAUGCUGUGAGCUCGAUGAGUAGGGCGGGACACGUGGUAUCCUGUCUGAAUAUGGGGGGACCAUCCUCCAAGGCUAAAUACUCCUGACUGACCGAUAGUGAACCAGUACCGUGAGGGAAAGGCGAAAAGAACCCCGGCGAGGGGAGUGAAAAAGAACCUGAAACCGUGUACGUACAAGCAGUGGGAGCACGCUUAGGCGUGUGACUGCGUACCUUUUGUAUAAUGGGUCAGCGACUUAUAUUCUGUAGCAAGGUUAACCGAAUAGGGGAGCCGAAGGGAAACCGAGUCUUAACUGGGCGUUAAGUUGCAGGGUAUAGACCCGAAACCCGGUGAUCUAGCCAUGGGCAGGUUGAAGGUUGGGUAACACUAACUGGAGGACCGAACCGACUAAUGUUGAAAAAUUAGCGGAUGACUUGUGGCUGGGGGUGAAAGGCCAAUCAAACCGGGAGAUAGCUGGUUCUCCCCGAAAGCUAUUUAGGUAGCGCCUCGUGAAUUCAUCUCCGGGGGUAGAGCACUGUUUCGGCAAGGGGGUCAUCCCGACUUACCAACCCGAUGCAAACUGCGAAUACCGGAGAAUGUUAUCACGGGAGACACACGGCGGGUGCUAACGUCCGUCGUGAAGAGGGAAACAACCCAGACCGCCAGCUAAGGUCCCAAAGUCAUGGUUAAGUGGGAAACGAUGUGGGAAGGCCCAGACAGCCAGGAUGUUGGCUUAGAAGCAGCCAUCAUUUAAAGAAAGCGUAAUAGCUCACUGGUCGAGUCGGCCUGCGCGGAAGAUGUAACGGGGCUAAACCAUGCACCGAAGCUGCGGCAGCGACGCUGAUGCGUUGUUGGGUAGGGGAGCGUUCUGUAAGCCUGCGAAGGUGUGCUGUGAGGCA